AUUGCUGUUGCAGGAGUUUUGGGUCAAGCUCCUAGUAAUCCUCCUACGUCUACGCCGGCGCCACCCACACCACCGGCUUCUACUCCUCCUCCGACGACUCAAGCACCGCCUACACCAACCGCCACUCCGCCACCGGUUUCUACUCCUCCUCCCACUUCAUCACCGCCCCCAGUGACAGCUUCUCCACCCCCAGUUUCAACUCCUCCACCCAGUUCUCCUCCUCCUGCAACUCCACCACCUGCUUCUCCUCCUCCUGCAACUCCACCUCCAGCUUCUCCACCUCCUGCCACUCCUCCACCAGCUUCUCCACCUCCCGCCACUCCACCACCUGCAACCCCACCGCCAGCAACUCCUCCUCCUGCUACCCCACCACCAGCUCCAUUGGCUUCUCCUCCAGCCACAGUCCCAGCUAUCUCUCCAGUACAAACACCAUUGACAUCGCCACCAGCUCCGCCGACCGAGGCCCCAGCAC
RNAcentral lists this long non-coding RNA (472 nucleotides) under Gossypium barbadense (sea-island cotton). RNAcentral's name for it is "long non-coding RNA (GBAR_LNC014573)". The record is from RNAcentral. Lineage: Eukaryota; Viridiplantae; Streptophyta; Magnoliopsida; Malvales; Malvaceae.